AUACGGAGGGUGCAAGCGUUGUUCGGAAUUACUGGGCGUAAAGCGCGCGUAGGCGGUCUGUUAUGUCAGAUGUGAAAGUCCUCGGCUCAACCGGGGAAGUGCAUUUGAAACUGGCAGACUUGAGUAUUGGAGGGGGUAGUGGAAUUCCCGGUGUAGAGGUGAAAUUCGUAGAUAUCGGGAGGAAUACCGGUGGCGAAGGCGACUACCUGGCCAAAUACUGACGCUGAGGUGCGAAAGCGUGGGGAGCAAACAGGAUUAGAUACCCUAGUAGUCC
This 274-nucleotide ribosomal RNA is filed under the name uncultured bacterium. RNAcentral describes it as "partial 16S ribosomal RNA". It matches the Rfam family "Bacterial small subunit ribosomal RNA", at positions 523 to 796 of the family's 1533-position model. The record is from RNAcentral.